Molecule: ribosomal RNA, 484 nt
Filed under: uncultured bacterium
Lineage: Bacteria
Description: partial 16S ribosomal RNA
Rfam family: Bacterial small subunit ribosomal RNA
Source: RNAcentral
AUUGAACGCUAGCGGGAUGCUUUACACAUGCAAGUCGAACGGCAGCGCGGACUUCGGUCUGGCGGCGAGUGGCGAACGGGUGAGUAAUGUAUCGGAACGUGCCCAGUAGCGGGGGAUAACUACGCGAAAGCGUAGCUAAUACCGCAUACGCCCUACGGGGGAAAGCAGGGGGUCGUAAGACCUUGCACUAUUGGAGCGGCCGAUAUCGGGUUAGCUAGUUGGUGAGGUAACGGCUCACCAAGGCGACGAUCCGUAGCUGGUUGGAGAGGACGACCGGCCACACUGGAGCUGGGACACGGCCCAGACUCCUACGGGAGGCAGCAGUGGGGAAUUUUGGACAAUGGGGGCAACCCUGAUCCAGCCAGCCCGCGUGUGAGAUGAAGGCCUUCGGGUUGUAAAGCACUUUUGGCAGGAAAGAAACGUCGCGGGCUAAUACCCCGUGGAACUGACGGUACCUGCAGAAUAAGCACCGGCUAACUACGUG